GCGAUCACUUAGACAGCACAUAUACUAAAAUUGGAAUGAUACAGAGAAGAUUAGCAUGGCCCCUGCCCAAAGAUGACACGCAAAUUCAUGAAGCGUUCCAUAUGAAA
Molecule: small nuclear RNA, 107 nt
Filed under: Sorex araneus (European shrew)
Lineage: Eukaryota; Metazoa; Chordata; Mammalia; Eulipotyphla; Soricidae
Source: RNAcentral